This 250-nucleotide ribosomal RNA is filed under the name uncultured bacterium. RNAcentral's name for it is "partial 16S ribosomal RNA". It matches the Rfam family "Bacterial small subunit ribosomal RNA", at positions 524 to 773 of the family's 1533-position model. The record is from RNAcentral.
UACGAAGGGUGCAAGCGUUACUCGGAAUUACUGGGCGUAAAGCGUGCGUAGGCGGUUUGUUAAGUCUGUCGUGAAAGCCCCGGGCUCAACCUGGGAAUGGCGGUGGAUACUGGCAGGCUAGAGUACGGUAGAGGAUGGUGGAAUUCCCGGUGUAGCAGUGAAAUGCGUAGAGAUCGGGAGGAACAUCUAUGGCGAAGGCAGCCAUCUGGACCAGUACUGACGCUGAGGCACGAAAGCGUGGGGAGCAAAC